CCAACGGCUCUUUUAAGAGCCACCCACAUCUAUCUGAAGAGCCAAAU
This is a non-coding RNA of Poecilia formosa (Amazon molly), 47 nucleotides long. The record is from Rfam. NCBI's taxonomy places the organism in Eukaryota, Metazoa, Chordata, Actinopteri, Cyprinodontiformes, Poeciliidae.